Molecule: ribosomal RNA, 877 nt
Filed under: uncultured eukaryote
Lineage: Eukaryota
Description: SSU rRNA
Rfam family: Eukaryotic small subunit ribosomal RNA
Source: RNAcentral
CGGUGUUCAACUGGCGUGUCCGCGGGACGUCCUGCCGGUGGGCUUAGCCCGCAAGGGCGGCCCAACUUCAAAUCCCAUCGCGGUGCUCUUCACUGAGUGUCGAGGUGGGCCGGCACGUUUACUUUGAACAAAUUAGAGUGCUUAAAGCAGGCUAAAACUUCGCCUGAAUACUGUGUGCAUGGAAUAAUGGAAUAGGACCUCGGUUCUAUUUUGUUGGUUUUCGGAACCCCGAGGUAAUGAUUAAUAGGAACGGAUGGGGGCAUUCGUAUUGCGACGUUAGAGGUGAAAUUCUUGGAUCGUCGCAAGACGGACAGAAGCGAAAGCAUUUGCCAAAAACGCUUUCAUUGAUCAAGAACGAAAGUUAGAGGUUCGAAGGCGAUCAGAUACCGCCCUAGUUCUAACCAUAAACGAUGCCAGCUAGCGAUCCGUCGACGUUCCUCCGAUGACUCGACGGGCAGCUUCCGGGAAACCAAAGCUUUUGGGCUCCGGGGGAAGUAUGGUUGCAAAGCUGAAACUUAAAGGAAUUGACGGAAGGGCACCACCAGGAGUGGAGCCUGCGGCUUAAUUUGACUCAACACGGGAAACCUCACCAGGCCCGGACACCGGAAGGAUUGACAGAUUGAGAGCUCUUUCUUGAUUCGGUGGGUGGUGGUGCAUGGCCGUUCUUAGUUGGUGGAGCGAUUUGUCUGGUUAAUUCCGAUAACGAACGAGACUCUAGCCUGCUAACUAGGCGUAUUUUCGACAUCUCAAAGGUCCGUCGUCCCGGCCCUCGGGUCGUGGGCGUGCGCGAUUUUUACUGUCGGCGUACUAUCAAUUCUUCUUAGAGGGACAGGUGGCUUCUAGCCGCACGAGAUUGAGCAAUAACAGGUCUGUGAUG